UCCCAAACUGGAGAGUUUUCUAUCUGGGU
RNAcentral lists this non-coding RNA (29 nucleotides) under Mus musculus (house mouse). Lineage: Eukaryota; Metazoa; Chordata; Mammalia; Rodentia; Muridae. The record is from RNAcentral.